AAUGAACGUUAGCGGCGCGCCUGAUGCAUGCAAGUCGAACGGUCCUAACGCAAGUUAGGAUAGUGGCAAACGGCUGAGUAACGCGUAAGUAACUUACCUCUAAGUUCGGAAUAACCUGCCGAAAGGCAAGCUAAUACCGUAUGUGCUGAGGGAUUUAAUUUUUCAGUAAAGCUUUUACGCUUAGAGAGAGGCUUGCGUCUGAUUAGCUAGUUGGUUAAGGUAAUGGCUUACCAAGGCAAUUAUCAGUAGCUGGUCUUAGAGGACAACCAGCCAGACAGGGACUGAGACACGGCCCUGACUCCUACGGGAGGCUG
RNAcentral lists this ribosomal RNA (314 nucleotides) under uncultured Chloroflexota bacterium. RNAcentral's name for it is "bacterial SSU rRNA". It matches the Rfam family "Bacterial small subunit ribosomal RNA", at positions 29 to 351 of the family's 1533-position model. The record is from RNAcentral. Lineage: Bacteria; Bacillati; Chloroflexota.